CUCCCGAUUACGAAAGGUCGAAGGUUAAGAUAUCCCCGCAGAGGUGGUCGUUGAGCGCUGUAUUACUGACAGACGCGUUCAAGAGAAAGGUGAUUAUUGAACUACAUCCUACGACCGACGGAUCGUAUGUGGAUUUGGCAGAUCGGCUGGAAUAUGUCACAGUAAAAAGUGAAUCACGCUGUCGUUUGAAAUGACGAUACCGAUGCCUGUGCUGAUAGCCAACAUUAUUCCGGCCACGAUCAAAAUUAUCGAUUAGCCAAAAUGUAAUCUGCAACCUCCGGGUGAGUUGAGUUCGAUGAAUCACGUGAGUGAACGCUUGGAUAAAUUAUUCCGGUGAAAGAAAACCGGAAGAUCGAUCGAUGAUGAUUCUUUUAUUUCAGCCAGAG
Molecule: unclassified non-coding RNA, 386 nt
Filed under: Athalia rosae (coleseed sawfly)
Lineage: Eukaryota; Metazoa; Arthropoda; Insecta; Hymenoptera; Athaliidae
Description: misc RNA ENSAEAG00005009634.1
Source: RNAcentral